This is a small nuclear RNA of Ochotona curzoniae (black-lipped pika), 184 nucleotides long. RefSeq annotates it as U2 spliceosomal RNA. Lineage: Eukaryota; Metazoa; Chordata; Mammalia; Lagomorpha; Ochotonidae. The transcript has a single exon. The record is from RefSeq and is a predicted model, not a curated record.
AUCACUUCUCGGCCUUUUGGCUAAGAUCAUGUGUAGUAUCUGUUCUUAUCAGUUUAAAAAUAUAUUUAUUUGAAAGAGUUAGUGAGACAGAGAAUGUUAAGGAGAAGGAGGGAGAAGGGAAGAGAGAGGGACAUCUUCCAUCUGCUGGUUCAACUUCAUGACUGGCUGGAACAGCUGUGGUUGA